UGCUUUGUAGCUCAAUUGGAUAGAGCGGCAGGUUUCCCAUCUGUAGGCGAAGGUUCAAUUCCUUCCAAAGCUCC
RNAcentral lists this transfer RNA (74 nucleotides) under Ruegeria denitrificans. RNAcentral's name for it is "tRNA-Gly". It matches the Rfam family "tRNA". From Rfam's summary of the family: Transfer RNA (tRNA) molecules are approximately 80 nucleotides in length. Their secondary structure includes four short double-helical elements and three loops (D, anti-codon, and T loops). Further hydrogen bonds mediate the characteristic L-shaped molecular structure. tRNAs have two regions of fundamental functional importance: the anti-codon, which is responsible for specific mRNA codon recognition, and the 3' end, to which the tRNAs corresponding amino acid is attached (by aminoacyl-tRNA synthetases). tRNAs cope with the degeneracy of the genetic code in two manners: having more than one tRNA (with a specific anti-codon) for a particular amino acid; and 'wobble' base-pairing, i.e. permitting non-standard base-pairing at the 3rd anti-codon position. Lineage: Bacteria; Pseudomonadati; Pseudomonadota; Alphaproteobacteria; Rhodobacterales; Roseobacteraceae. The record is from RNAcentral.